UUGUGUUUUGAAAACCCAUUUUUCAUUAGCAUAAUGAGCCUUCACUUAUAGCCAGAAAACUCUAAAGUGUUUUCCCUGAGCUUGUAAAGAAGAAUCUGAAAUUCAGCGUUAUUACUCACCCAGCAACUAAAUUUUUAAACUUAAAUUCUAAACAGUAAAAUGCAUCAUGUAGUAACAAAGGGCAGUCCCCAAUCUCUUGUGGAAGAAGUAAGCUUAAACUCAAAUCUCUGAAGAUCUAUAGCUAGGUAGAUUCACAAAUUUAUAUCAUUUAAGGGGGACAAUUGAUAGAAAGACUCAAAUCUCUAGUUCUAGCAGAGACUUCAAAUAAUUACAAAAGUCAUAAUUACCACAAAGACCAGUUUGUAACCAUGGCUAACCGAAUACUAGGCAGCUGACUAUCAGUCAAAGGAAAGCAAGGGGGGUCAUUUCUGUGUCACAUAAAGAGAAGGGUUGCUGGUUGAUGCCACUUUCUCUUUACUGCCUGCUGUUGGGUGCUCUGCAGAAGUGGCCAGAGGAGGAGGGCAGGAGCACUUCCGAGCGAUGGCUCUAGUUUCCCUCCUCUGUGUGUCAGUGUCAUGUCUCUGCUGAUGAAACUACUGGUUGGUAGUGGGACAUCUACAUUUAAAGCAUCACAGGGUUCUUCUGGAGUGGGAGCCAUGUGUGAUUCAUCUAUAUCCCCAGGUUCCAGUAGUGGUCUGUGUGCUGAGAGUAACCCACAGGCAGACCUUCUGGGCUUGCUGUGCUCAGAGGAGUGGCUUCAGAGGCCUUUCCAUCCGGAGAUACAGUCAGUGAGGCCAGGUCAUGAGAGGAGCAUGUUAAGCAAGGCAAACAGUGAUGGGAACUGAAAAAGGGGUAUUAAGUUCAACUUUAGAAUUCACUAAGGGUCACUGCCACAAUAAACAUUUGUAACUGAA
Long non-coding RNA from Phyllostomus discolor (pale spear-nosed bat), 914 nucleotides. RefSeq lists it as uncharacterized. NCBI's taxonomy places the organism in Eukaryota, Metazoa, Chordata, Mammalia, Chiroptera, Phyllostomidae. The record is from RefSeq and is a predicted model, not a curated record. The transcript has 4 exons.